RNAcentral lists this long non-coding RNA (385 nucleotides) under Mytilus galloprovincialis (Mediterranean mussel). The record is from RNAcentral. Lineage: Eukaryota; Metazoa; Mollusca; Bivalvia; Mytilida; Mytilidae.
CAAACAUAGAAAAGGAUGAAUUGAUCAUGCACCAAGUUAGGAAUAUGACAGUUGUUUUCCAUUCGUUUGAUGUGUUUGUGCUUUUGAUUUUGUCAUUUGAUUAUGGACUUAUCGUUUGAUUGUAUAGCUAGUUAAACCUCUUACUGGUAUAAAAGUCAUAUAUAAUUGAUGUAUUUUGACAAUUACAUUGUUGGAAAACCAGAAUUAUGAAGAUUAAGAGUUUUAAAAAAACCAACAAGAAUCUGGCUGAGACCAACUCUAGUGUUGUGGUAGAAAACUCCCAAGUGUUAUGAAUGAAUUUGGAUAUUUUAUAAAGGUAUAUUAAAAGAGAUUGACUGCACAAAUGAUAUUACAAGCAGUAACAUGAUGAUAGUAACAACUAGAG